Long non-coding RNA from Marmota monax (woodchuck), 6322 nucleotides. RefSeq lists it as uncharacterized. NCBI's taxonomy places the organism in Eukaryota, Metazoa, Chordata, Mammalia, Rodentia, Sciuridae. The record is from RefSeq and is a predicted model, not a curated record. The transcript is spliced from 5 exons.
AGUAAGAUGGGUGUGGGGUUGGGGGAAGCUCAAGGCAGGGAGAUGCCUAAGAACCAUCUAUUUUGCAGAUGAACUUUCAUUCCAUCUCCUUGCUUUUGGUCCUGAAUCUAACAUCCUCCUUUUAUGGCACCUGGUGCUUCAAAAUACCAAGCACCUCAGGUGUCCCGUGGCCAAGUAUCUUGUCUUUGAUGUUGUUCCCUCGGUGCUCUCGGCUGGAAACUGUCCCCAUUCAGCUACACCCUUUUUGCUUUCAGACAACUAGACAUUUCUUGAUUCCUUCAGCUUCUACCCAACUCCUCUGUUUGCUAUAUUCUUGGAGAGUCACACCUUUCUUAUUUUUGUGGAACCGUAAUAACAUCUUAAAAGGAGUUUGAGGAGGGGGCGGAAGAAAUCCAGGAGUGGCAAAUCUGCCAUUUUUGACCAAAAUUGAGAGUGCAUGUGCUGGUGGGGGGCGCCCGCCUUCCGUAAGACUGAUUCGACCCCUCCCUGCCGUCUUCGCCUCACGGGGUGCUGCUGGGCCUUCCCUGGGCCCCUUGUCCCUCGCUGCCUCCUCUCUUCUCUACCAGCACAGACAUUGUGAUCUGCCACUUUGGCAUCUGCUGGGCACUGCCAACGGCCGCACAGAGCCCAGUGCCUUGAUGCAGUUGCCAACCUCUGCUGGGCACCCACUGCCCGGUCUCCAGGGUUUCCCAUCUGCUGGUCCUUCCAACCUCCAAACCUCCCUCGUCCCCAUCGUUCGAAGCCAAUGGCCUUUAUAGACAGAACCGCAGAGAUGAGACUCUUCCCCCUGUCCCCCAUGGCGGCCACCAUGGCCUUCUGCCUAGAGUGUGCCCCUGUGUCCUGGGCAGGGCCUCAUGGCCUGCCCGACUUCCCCAUUGUUCUCAUUAGCUGUUCCGCUUCGGUGAACACCUGUGGAGGAGGAGAAGUCUACCUGGUGACACCUGUGGAGGAGGAGCAGUCUACCUGGUGACACCUGUGGAGGAGGAGCAGUCUACCUGGUGACACCUGUGGAGGAGGAGCAGUCUACCUGGUGGCACCUGUGGAGGAGGAGCAGUCUACCUGGUGGCACCUGUGGAGGAGGAGCAGUUGAUGUGUUGGUCACGGUCUCAGAGGUCUCAGUCCACAGUCGGCCAGCUCCACUGCUCUGGGCUGGAGUGAGGCAGCGCAUCAAGGUGGAAGAGUGUGGAGGAGGACAGCAGCUCAGGACGUCACAUCAGGAAGGAGAGAGAGAGAGAGAGAGAGAGAGAGAGAGAUUACGGAUGAGGGACAGAAUACACACCCAGAGGCGGGUCCCCAUGACCCACCUCCUCCAGCCACACCCGCCUGCCCACGUUAUCACCCAGUUCACCCCAUCAGGGGACCGUGCCCAGGUGAGGUUAAGGCUCUGUCACCCACUCGUUUCUCCUCUGAACUUCCCUGUCCUGUCUCACACGUGAGCUUUGGGGUCACCUUCUGUCUAAACCGUAGCGACCUUCUCCCUGCUCUGCUUUGGCACUUCCUUUCAGUUCCAGAGAUGUCACGGAUACAGAUUGUCACAUUGGCUUCCUCCAGGGGAGAUGUUCAAACAUUUACCUGUGGCAGGAGGAUACAGCAGUUCCCGCGGCCUCCUGGUCCGCCAGGAGCUUCCCUGUCACAGUAAGCUGGUGGGAGGGUGGUAGUGAGCUGGGGCUGCCGUGACAAAGUGCCCUGAACAGAGUGACUUCAACACGCUGCUGCACCGUUCUGGCGGCUGCGGCUCAGGAUCGAGGUGUGUGCUGGGCCACGCUCCUUCCAAGGCGCCUGGGAAGGGUCUGCUGGGGCCACUCCCCGAGCUCCUGGCAGCUCCUGGCUGUGGAGACGAGCUCCCGCUGCCCUCGGCCUUCUCCCUGUGCCACCUGUGUCCACAUCUGUCCCUUUUAUCAGGACACAGUCAUAUUGGGUUAGGGCCCCCUCAGGACCUAAUUUUAAUUUGAUUGUCUGCAAAGAUCCUAUUUCCAAAUAAGGUCAUUUUCACAGAGAGCUCCGGGCUCCAUGGGUGAGCCUCGGACAGGGGUCCCUGGGGAGGGGGGCUCUCUAGGAAGGGACCGGAGCCAGGGAGCUGAAUGGCAUGAACACGCAAGUUCAGUGACAAGGACAGGCCCAGGCCCAGGCCUGCUCCAGGCUGCCCUGCUCAAGACGGAGGCUCAUUCCUGGCAGGGUUUGCCUCUCCCUCUGUGGACCCUGGAAAGGAGGACACCCACCUGCUCCACCCAGCAGGAGGGGGUGAUGGGGCACCCCCAGAGCUGUAGGGCCCUGGAGCCUGCGGUUGGCCAGCUCAGUCACCUGGAUGGUCAUCUCCCGGGGCCAGGCUCUCUGGCCAGGUGGGCUCAGGUGUCUCAGGAGAAGCUGCCCGGCCACCCAAUCUAGAGUAGCCCGUAGCAUGUACACACCCCUCCCCUCACAUACCCCACACAGACACACAACGCACAACCACAACCACAACACAUCACACAUGCCUCACGCCACACACAGAUACACGCGCACAGACGCCUCGACUCUAAAUCUCUCCACCCUUGGCUCUUCCCUCCUAGCCGGUUGCUCUCAUUCUGUUGGGGUCCCGGGGGUCCUUGCCCACCUGCCCCCUGUUCUAGGAUGUAGAUUCCUGGCCACUGUCAGGGACCUGCCCAUCUUGUUCCCUGAUGGGCCCUGAGCCCCUAGAACUUGCUGGGCACAUGGCAGGUGCUGUGGGCUGCAGGCUUGGGGCCACCUUCCUGUGGUCUGUGGGUGUCGCCAGAGAGGAGUGGGGACCUGGGCUCCUGCCCACCGCACAGCUCCGCUAGGGUCCCACUGCCCCAGGUUUUCUCUUGGCACUUUUCUUAUUCAGAAACACAAACCUUCAAGUUGCAAACAGAGCCUUGGAGAGGCUGAGAGCCCCCAGGUACCUGGGGAUUUCUCAGAUCUCCUCGCAGGCAUAGAUCUGGUAUGACUGUGUCCACGUGCAACCCAGAGGCUGCCAACCCAGGUGCUGCCCAUGUGACCCCCACAGGGGGUCACCUAAACUCAGAUGGGUUCUUUCUGCCCUGGCAGCUUUCUGGGGCCCAUCUCACCAAAACCCCCAGGACUCCAGGUGCCGGCCCCCAAUACCCCUGCAGCGUUAUGAAGGAAGUCCCGCUGGACCCUGAGCGGCAGGUGAGCAGCCAGGGAGUGGAGUGUCUGGUCCAGAUCCAGCCCCGGCCAUGGGUCUCCAGCCAGGCUCCUAACUUCCUCAUCUGGAAAGACAGAUGGGAAGAGGUCGCUCUGACAGACUGGCUGGGGUUUCCCGGCCACUCCUCUCAGUACCUAUUAGCCUGGCCCCAGUUCAAUGUUCCAUAGCCGCAGGCAGCAGGAAGCUUCUGGAACAGCCUUCCUGCAUCCGUGGGGGAGAAGCGGCACACUUGGAGUCAGUGGGGCCAAGGCUACGAAAGGAACCGGCUGCGAGACCCCUCCAAGGCCCCAUCCAGUGAAAGUGCAGGACAGGCUCCUUCCCCACCCCCGCCCCCGCCCCAGGGUCACUGCUGUGCACCGCACUUCCUCAGUGUUAUGCUCAUUAAUUAAACUCUUAUUUACGCCCGAGGGCAGUGUCCGGCCAUCUGGAAGCCUUUCCCUCUGUGGUCGGGUCAUGAGAGCUCACGCACAGCUCAGGGGCUCUGGCGCCUGCUCCGGGAGGUCCCACCUGGACCCUCAGAAAAACCACUGAGCUGUCCAGCAAGGUCCUUGCUCCCCACCCCACCAAUAGUGACCCUGGAUUAUGAGCUGUCACCAGCACCUCCUGUUCCACAGAACGCAACGUAAGGCUUUCUGUAACUGCGACUUUAUUUUAAUACUCAGAACACGCCUGUGAAACAGAUAUCAGUCCCGUUUCACAAUGGGGGAGCCGAGGCUCAGAGGGGGGCAGGAACUUGCUUUAGGUCACAGUUAAGAGAUGAAGGGUCAGUUCUGAGGUGGGACCAGUAUCUCAUGCCCACCCAGGAGCUCCAUACCCCUCCUCUGCUCAGUGAGAAUCAGACCUGGUCUUGGAUCGAGCUCUGGGCAGAGGGCGAUUCAGGACAGCAGCCAAGUGAUGGGCCCAGAGGGAGGCUGGCUUAGUGACAUGGACAAGGACAGUAGGUGCCACUGGUCCUGGGGAGCACCAAGAGCCCGGGGAGAGGGCUGAGCCAGUCCUGCUGGGCUGCCGCCUGAGUGGUCCACCUCUUUGGGAAGCUCCGGGUCCCGAAGGGUACCCCAAGUCCUGGGGAGAGAUUGUCAGCAUUUCCAGGUGAAGGACGGGAGGCGGAGCAGCUGCAGCAGGGACCAGGGAUGGGCUGGCACUGGGGAGCCAGGGGUCAUACAGAGGGAGGGUGGCGGGGGCAAGCGAGGUCCCCCAGAAUUCCUUGACUCAUGGCUUGGGAGACAGACACCCAGAAGAGGACUCACCGGAGUCUCCUGGAGCUGGGAAAAGCAGGGUGGUGUCGGGCCCAGGGCUCCCCACCAGGGCCCAGGUGGCCUCCCCUUCCUCUUGUGGACAGUGGUCAGGGCCUGGGCCUGCAGCCAGGGGCUGUCUCUGUCAGGCUUCUCCGAGAUGUGCUCAUGCUACCGUAAGAUGAGUGAUGGCAUCGCCAUGACCCCUAAGAGUUCCAGAAGUCACGACUGGGGCCUUUGCAGAAGGGAUCCUGGCUGGGCCACCCAAGCUGCGUUCCUUCCAGAGCAGGAACAUAUCUGGGGGUCAAUCCAUGGAAAAGAGGAGAGGAGCGGAGGGAGAGUUAAGAAGGGUGAGGACGAUGCCAGGGGCCUUAUGAAUUGGCCACCGCAGGGGUGACAGGGCCCUGGGCAACAGGAUCUUCUGAGCCAAGGGACAAGGGAGUGUGUUGCUCCCCACACUGGUGCGGUCUCCUGGCCAGGCCACAACCCCUGCGCUUGCUCUCCGGCUGCGCCAAGGGGAUCCAGCACCCCUAGGCAGCCCAGGGGUGCCCCAGGCAGGAAGUGAGGCAGGCACAGGUGCAGGGCCCAGCAGGGAGCAGCGGGGCUGAGCAUGAGCUGAGGACCCGAGGACUAGGGUGGCCCAGGACACUCCCAGCCCUGCCGGCUGCCCUCUGCCUCUGCUCCUCCCCCUCGAGAGAUGGACACCUGUACCCAGCAGCCCUGACCGCGUGUCUUCCAGCUCUGUCUUCUCCCGCCCUUGUGGUCCCUGGUCUCUGUUCCUCCUUCUGGGAGAUUCCUCAGCCUCUGCUUCUGCUGACAGCUGAUGGCCAACUUCUGAGACCUAAGUUCAAAUUUCCAAGCCCAUAUCCCAAGGGGGCAGGUGGUCCCAUCACCCCUCCGGGCCCUACUGUCCUGUCCCUGAGCCCAGGGGUCAGACGCCCUCGCGAGGCUCAGGAAACCCAUUUUCGUUUCCCAACAGCUCUGCUGUCAGGAAGCCGUCGGAUCCCUCCUUCUACUGGCUUCUGAUCUUAGAAGAGAUGGAGAAGGCCCCUUCCUUGAGCUGUGAAGGACACGCUGAGUACGACGUUCUGCUGAAUGCAGGCACGGCCCAGGUGGCUCAGGUGGCCGCUGGGGAGGACCACAGGGCUGCAGGCCUGGGAGGUCUGAGCCCGCUUCUCCACUGGAAAAGGGGCCAGGGGCAGAUGAUGGAGUCCGUCCUCUGACUCAGGCCCAACGUUCCCCCCGUGCCCACUGGUGUCGUGGGAGGGCCAGAUGGCGUCCAUCUUGGUGAAGGAGGAGCUCGGACCCCGGGAAGCAGAUGAAAAGCGAGGUUGGACGUGGUGGGAGUGUCUUUACCUGAAGGACAAGGUCCUACAGCAUGUGGCAAGAAGUUUGGCUGAGGUCUGUCGACCAGGAGGAUUUUCCUGAUCCCGCAUCCUGGAUGCCUGUCCUCUGGGGACCACCAGAGAAAAGAUGGCUUCAAGACAAAACGUGGGGUGCAAAGAAAAGUGAGUCAAACCCAGAAGACUGAUUGGAAGGAACUGUGACGUGUGGGAAUGGGUACGAGGACCCACGGAGGAGAGCAGAGCCCACCCCUGCUGUGGCAGGAUCGAGGGUUGCGCAACGGUGGAGAAAUGUUGGAUCGGGAGCCACCGUCACGCAGUCUAACAGUGUGUGUGACCAGAGAGGACGGAGCGUGGCCACCGAGGCACCAGCCGGAGAGUCCCAUCUGGAUCAGAACAGAGACCCACCUGGCCAGUCUGUGAAGUUGCACACAGGCCACCUAUUUGCCCCUGUCACGGGCACUGGGGUUCCUCGGGGAAAUAGCAGGCUGUGCAGGCCCCUUGAUAGGAGAGAGCUUAGGGGAAGAUGAGACACUAAGUGUGCAAAGUCACGGAUGAUCAUUCAGUGCUUCUGUGAGAGGAGC